This is a non-coding RNA of Peromyscus maniculatus bairdii (prairie deer mouse), 1023 nucleotides long. The record is from RefSeq and is a predicted model, not a curated record. NCBI's taxonomy places the organism in Eukaryota, Metazoa, Chordata, Mammalia, Rodentia, Cricetidae.
CCACACUCUGACUGCACUGCCAACUCUGUCUAUCCCCAUGGAAAGCAAACCUACUAUCUAGGAAGAUCUCCGGGUUCUUUUGUAGGGACCCUGUUAUCUACUGUAACAACAUAGAGGUCCUGAAGUACAAAGCUGUCACCUUUAUUAAAUACAACAGAGAAUUAUUAGUAAUCAAGAUAAUAAAAAGUUUAUUUGGUCUAAUUUUAUCAUUUUGAGGAAAAACUCAUGAAGUUGGCACUUUCAUAUAUUAAAAUUCAUCAAAGGACUUCAACUUGUUUUUAUCAUUACUCAAUAUUAAUAAGACAACUGAUCAAACCAUGCCCAUUAAAUGAGUGUUUUUAGAGACAGAAUUCUCUGAUGAACUUGGAGCACACCCAUCUGGAUAGGCUCGCCAGCCAGUGAGCCCCGGGGACCUUCCUAUCUGUCUCCCCUGUGGCAGGAGCCGCCAGAUCCCACUUUAAGGACUCUCACAUGUUCCUGUUGAUGGAUUCUAGAAAAUGGGCCACUGCGUGGAGAUUACAUGUGAAGAACAGAGAAGCUCAAAGAAAUGGGCUUAGGCUGAGGGAAGAAUUCCUCAGUGAAUGACUGCUGCACGAUCAGCAGAGAUGAGAAUGGGAUUUUCACAUCAUUGCACGUUCUGUAUCAGCCGGCAAAGAUACAAGGGCUAACGUCCGGAUGCAGGAAUAUCACCUUACCUGGCAAAAAGUUCGCAGAAGUGACUAAGUUUCAGGUUCUUCACUGAAUUAUCAGAUACAAGCUGAAGGUGCCGUUUUAGACCACAUGACUGAGGUCAGAGAUAGAUCAGCUAAAUACCGGGGAGACUGGGUAACUUGCCUAAAGUCAUAAAGCGGACUGGAAGGAUAAUUAGUCAUGGAGACAGGAAAGGCACUGUGGGGACAGCAUGACUCCAGGACCCUCUUCGGCACCUUCUCUGUGCCACACUAUCCUGAGAUUGUCACUCCUCGGAACGCUCUCCUUGUUGGGAAUAGGAGCCACAGCUGCUAAAAAAGGAAGUGGACCGGA